CAGCCGCCACGGUAAUACGUAGGUGGCAAGCGUUGUCCGGAAUCAUUGGGCGUAAAGGGCUCGCAGGCGGUUUCUUAAGUCUGAUGUGAAAGCCCCCGGCUCAACCGGGGAGGGUCAUUGGAAACUGGGAAACUUGAGUGCAGAAGAGGAGAGUGGAAUUCCACGUGUAGCGGUGAAAUGCGUAGAGAUGUGGAGGAACACCAGUGGCGAAGGCGACUCUCUGGUCUGUAACUGACGCUGAGGAGCGAAAGCGUGGGGAGCGGACAGGAUUAGAUACCCCUGUAGUCCCUGUCUCUUAUAC
Molecule: ribosomal RNA, 301 nt
Filed under: uncultured bacterium
Lineage: Bacteria
Description: partial 16S ribosomal RNA
Rfam family: Bacterial small subunit ribosomal RNA
Source: RNAcentral